AGCGCCUUGCCUUCUCUUGGGCUUUGAAGCAUUUUUGUCUGUGCUCCCUGAUCUUCAGGUCACCACCAUGAAGUUCUUAGCAGUCCUGGUACUCUUGGGAGUUUCCAUCUUUCUGGUCUCUGCCCAGAAUCCGACAACAGCUGCUCCAGCUGACACGUAUCCAGCUAGUGAGUCUGCACUUGAAUGUCAUCUCUUUCCUGCAAUAACCAUUUUCCACUUCCAGCCUCAUGUCAAACAGCCAGUUUCCAUGUGGAUAGUCUUUGUUAUAAGGAAUCCUAAGCAAAAGUCUGUGAAAGCUAUAUUCCUGAUUUUCAAAUUCACCACAAACAUAGUGAAUCUGUGUAUUUCUUAUACAUUCUUAGAAUAUAUGAAAUAUAGGCCAUAGACUUAUACAAAUGUGGGCUUAUUAUUCAUUGUUUUCCAGCAUAAGGCACAAGAGCAUGAGGUCUGAUGUUGUAGCCUGAGAAUUUUUGAGAGAUGCCUCUAAUAA
Molecule: small RNA, 490 nt
Filed under: Pan troglodytes (chimpanzee)
Lineage: Eukaryota; Metazoa; Chordata; Mammalia; Primates; Hominidae
Description: retained intron
Source: RNAcentral